This 641-nucleotide ribosomal RNA is filed under the name Pagurus brevidactylus. RNAcentral's name for it is "eukaryotic LSU rRNA". The stretch from base 260 to 641 matches the Rfam family "Eukaryotic large subunit ribosomal RNA", at positions 675 to 1161 of the family's 3401-position model. Lineage: Eukaryota; Metazoa; Arthropoda; Malacostraca; Decapoda; Paguridae. The record is from RNAcentral.
GUGACAGAAGGGGGUGGGGCUCGACCCCACCCCCGGGGCCGAUCCCCGGCCUGCGGGCGCCUCGGGGCGCCCGGAUGGCGGUCCGGGGGCCGGUGAGCUAUUUUCCCGGCCCCCGCCGUCGCCGGGUCUGAGUUCCCCGUGUGCGGCCGCGGGCCCUGGAGCCCGCCCACCAGGCGGGGGGGCGCAAGCCCGGGACUUGCCACCAGUGCACCUCCCGGUCCCGGCGGCCUUUACGGGCCGUCGGGGCCCGGGCUGGUAGCCGGCAAGUACCUUGAGCAGACAUGUUGGGACCCGAAAGAUGGUGAACUAUGCUUGGCCAGGACGAAGCCAGAGGAAACUCUGGUGGAGGUCCGCCGCGAUUCUGACGUGCAAAUCGAUCGUCGGAGCUGAGUAUAGGGGCGAAAGACUAAUCGAACCAUCUAGUAGCUGGUUCCCUCCGAAGUUUCCCUCAGGAUAGCUGGUGCACGAGGGUAAUUUCAUCCGGUAAAGCGAAUGAUUAGAGGUCUUGGGGACGAAACGUCCUCAACCUAUUCUCAAACUUUAAAUGGGUGAGAUGCCGAGCUUGCUCUGACGAAUGAAGCUCUGGCGACUAAUACGUGCUCCUAGUGGGCCAUUUUUGGUAAGCAGAACUGGCGCUGUGG